AAAAAGGGCAGUUUUUAGGAUUGUAUCCCAAAAAGUGGUUUCAAGGGACCCCAAAAAGGGCGGUUUUUAGGAUUCUACCCCAAAAAGUGGUUUCAAGGGACCCCAAAAAGGGCGGUUUUUCGGAUUCUACCCCAAAAAGUGGUUUCAAGGGACCCCAAAAAGGGCAGUUUUUAGGAUUGUACCCCAAAAAUUGGUUUUGAGGGCCCCCAAAAGGGCGUUUUUAGGGGAUUCCCAAUAAAGUGGUUUCAAGGAACCCCAAAAAGGGCGGGUUUGGGGGAUUCCUCCCAAAAAUUGGUUUCAAGGGACCCCAAAAAGGGCUUUUUGGGGGGAUUCCCAAUAAAGUGGUUUCAAGGCACCCCAAAAAGGGCAGUUUUUAGGAUUGUACCCCAAAAAUGUGGUUUUGAGGGCCCCCAAAAGGGCAGUUUUUAGGAUUGUACCCCCCAAAAAUUGGUUUCAAGGGCCCCCCAAAAGGGCACUUUUGGGGUUUCCCAUUGUUUUGGGGUUUCCCAUUCUCUUGGGGUUUCCCCCCCGUUCGGGGCUCCCGACCCCCCCCUGAGCCCCCCCCUCCCCCC
RNAcentral lists this long non-coding RNA (572 nucleotides) under Gallus gallus (chicken). Its description in RNAcentral is "lncRNA (ENSGALG00010000370.1)". Lineage: Eukaryota; Metazoa; Chordata; Aves; Galliformes; Phasianidae. The record is from RNAcentral.